RNAcentral lists this long non-coding RNA (8457 nucleotides) under Sus scrofa (pig). RNAcentral describes it as "lncRNA (ENSSSCG00040041070.1, ENSSSCG00175033508.1)". Lineage: Eukaryota; Metazoa; Chordata; Mammalia; Artiodactyla; Suidae. The record is from RNAcentral.
AGGGAGCGGCCCAAGAAAUGGCAAAAAGAUAAAAAAUAAAUAAAAAAUAAAAUAAUAAUUCAGUUAUUAAUUGGACAAGAUGUAUUCUAAAGGUCCGUGUAUUCUACAAGCACUUUCAAAUCCAUCCCCCUUUCCAACUCUUUAAUUCUGUGGAAUUUUUUUUUUUAGAUGUUUUUUGGGUUUUUUUGUCUGUCUUUUUAGGGCCGCACUUGCGGUGGCAUACAGAGGUUCCCAGGCUAGGGGUCUAAUCGCAGCUACGGCUGCCGGCCUACGCCACGGCCACAGCAACAUGGGAUUCGAGCCGCGUCUGUGUCCUACUGCUGGAUCCUUAACCCAAUGAGCGAGGCCAGGGAUAGAACCCACAAUCUCAUGGUUCCUAGUCGAAUUCGAUUCUGCUGCACCCUGACUGGAACUCCACAGCUUCCUCUUAAAGGCAGCAAUUCUCCAAAUUUGGUGUGGACAAGAUUCAUCAUCUGAUGGACUUAGUUUAAAAAGCAGAUUCUAGGCUCCAUUUCUAGAGAAGCAGAUGAAGCAGGUGUGGGAUGGGGUCAGGGGAGCUGCAUGAGAACAAUGGUAUACAAGUGAUUCUGAUACAGACCCUGGAAAACACUGUGUUCAAGGUCUCAGCAGAGCCAAGGAUCAGACUCCAACUAUCGCUUUCUAGACUGUGGUUUUAUCUGUCUUAUUCCCAUUGUUCAUUCUGUGUUGUUGUUGUUUCACAAGAUUAAAAGUAUGAAUAUUUCCUGGGAGUUUCUGCCAUGGCACAGUGGGUUAAGAACCUGACUACAGUGGCCCAGGCCAGUGUGAAGGUGCAGGUUUGAUCACCAGCCCAGUGGGUUAAAGGACCCACUGUUGCUGCAGCUGCAGUGUUGGUCACAGCUGUGGCUCAGAUUCAAUCUGUGACCCGGGAACUUCCAUAUGCUGUGGCUGUGGCCAUAAAAUAAAAUAAAACAAAAAUUUUUUUUAAGUAUGACUAUUUCCUGAAUGGAAUUGACCCCCUCUGAGCCAGAGCCAAUGAGUUAGGGACAUGCACAUUGCCCAACCUGGGCCAAUCAGAUGCUUUAAAUUCUUCCCCCAUGAAUCUGGACUAAGACCUGGUAAAAUCACAUUGUGUUCAAGCUUAACUAAUACAAAGGCAACUACCGGAGCUUGGAAGAGGAAGCGGGGAAAAGAAAGCACAUUUAUUAAUAGUGAAAAUUAUGAGCAAAUAUGCCUUGAAGCAGCAGAAGCUGAAAACCUGACAUUCCCUUAGUGGGUCUCUGUUCUUACAUGCCCCACAGACACUGAGCAUUUCUCCUCACUAAACCAUUCAUCUCCAGGACUUUCAAAGAAAACUUGAACCAUUCACAAUUUUCACCUGAUACACUGACAUCAGAGCCUACUAACCUCUGGGCCUGGUGCAAUUUCACAAACUAAGAACAUAGCAGGUCCAGUGAGAGUCAGGGCCAGCAGGCUGCGGCCUAAGAAACACAGAGCAAGUCUGCAGAGAGGACGAUGCAAAGCAAAGCCCAGAGAGCAACAAAGAUGAGAAGAGGACUGGGGGCCAGAGUUCCUGAUAAUUCUGCUGCUGGGUUCUGCUCCCUUCGGAGAGAUACCCACAUUCCAGGGGGAAGCUGGUAUCUUCCCAAAAAACACGAGGCUUCCUGCUCUCCUCCCCUCUCUCUCUGGUUUACCUGCUAGCUACUUGAACCUCCAAAGCUCCCAGCAAGAACAGUGAGUAGACAGGCUUAAAAAACACAGAAUCCUUGUCCCCAAGUCUCAGGAAUCAAGGGUGACCUCUGGGGGCAGUCCCAAUGGGCCAUGUGUAGAGUGUCAAAACAGGCUUCAGGGAGAGCAAGACGACGCACGGCCGAGACACAAGAGGGGGUGACACUCAGAGAGAAGACGCCUUUUCCCCCCCAAGGACUCUGGUCCCCAACUUUCCCUAUACAUUCCAUGACUCUCAAUCAUCCCAACAAAUCUGCUGCUGUUCCUUAAAACCCAGCCAGCCUUCCAAGGAUUAUUUUUGAAAUAUUUCAGGCCCAAGGAAGGAAAGUUUCUGGACUCUGCCUAAUUCGCAGGCAGCCAAGGAAUUGCGAAAGGAUGUAACUCACACAUGCUUAUCAUCCCUUACCCAACUGCUGAAGUGACCAGGGUCUCCACCACCACUAGUCGCCCUGGCCUGGCACGUGGCAGGGUCUGCUUUGGAGACACUCUGACUUUUCGUACAUAACACAGUUGCAAACUACUUGGAACAGAGAGUACACUGAAGGCGGAAGGACUCUUCUCUCAACCAUGUAAUGAGUCAUAAAUACAGAGCUUACAUUAAUCACUUAAGCACUUCUAAAUUCUUUUCUUUCUGCUUCUUUUUAUUUAUUAGUUUUUUGGUGGGGGGAGGGGAGGGUUGCUGCUCUUAGAAGAGUCUAGAAAGCUUAGAUCCUAGAAGAAAAUCCUUGCAUGUAAAACAAGGGUGUUUGAGAAAUGAAGUGAAUCCUUGCCCAGCGUAACAGAGCUUUAGGCCAUCGUGUGGGAAAGGUGCUCUGGUCCCAUGUAACACGUUCCUAGUGUGUCAUCAUGAAAGCCCAUGGUGAGGACGGCGUACCUCUGGGAGUGACAGAGGAUGGAAGAGAUGGAGAAGGCCCCCCAUAGACCGUCCCAUUCUCCCCAAGAGCAGCACGUGUGGUAGGCAUGAUGGUCAGGCAGACGGAAAAGUGACCACAUCCCGCUCCACCCCCGUCCCCUGCCUCUUGCCCACGUGACCCCGUGGAAGGAUGGCCUGGCACAGAUCCAAGGGCAAGAGCCACACGGAGGGAAAGGCCAGCGCAAGGCUUAGUACAAGCUGGAGAGAAACGUCUAGAUGGAAGGUGCCCCUGGGGUUUUCACUUCCCUGGAGGUCCUAACCAAGUUCUGGGCACUAAAUGAAACAAAGAGGCUCUAACAAAGAGUCACUGCACAGGGUGGAAAUGGUGCACAGCCAACCGGCUUGCCGAAAGACGGGUGAUAAGGGGAGAGCACGGCAGCCAGCGAGGCGGACACGGUUCCAGCUGGAUUGAGGGUCAAAAGGUGGCUGAGGCAUCGCCUUCCCAGAAGAAGUGAGUCACGAGGAAAGUCUGAAAGGGAGGCAAGGUGGCGGGUUUGUUUUUCCCGAAGCCCGGUGUGGGUAUUGGCUUAGCAAUAUGGAAAAGAGCAUUAGGAGGGGAUAAAGGAAAUGGCCAUGCCAGCGUCAGAGGAGGAUGCGAGAUACCUGAGGGCGCCAGGGACGGGGAGGGGCAGGCAGGGAAGCAGGAGGGGGUCAAGCACAGCCAGAAGGGGCUGGGCGGCCCUGAUGGAUCUGAGGGCGCUGGCAGGAAGGUGGUGCACAGCAGCUUAAGAGGAGGGGCUCUCGAACCAAACGGGGUCACAGCCUAGCCUUGUGUGACUUGCUUCAGCCACUGAAACUCCCAACUGCUUCACUGGUGAAAAAGGGCAAGAAACAAUCAUACCUCCCUCAAGAGGCUACUGCAACUUAUUUAAAGUUUCCCGGGAUGGGGUCAGCAAACGACCAGCCCCACGGCCAAAUCUUUCUGACCCUGUGCUUUCUGCAGCCUGCACGCUAGGGACAACUUCUACAUUCUUACGUGGUGAGGAAAAAUUAAAAUAAUAUUUCAUGACGUGAGAAAAUUGUAUGAAAUGGACAUCUCAGUGUCUGCCAAAAAAGUUCUAUCAGAACUCAGCCACACACCCACACAUUUAGUCUAUGCCCCUCUAAUGCUACAAAGGCGAAACUGAGAGACUGGAGAGACUCCAAAGCCGGCAAAGCCUAAAAUAUUGACUAUUUGGCUCUUUACAGGCUCCUUUGCUGGCCCCUUUCUGAUGGGAAGUAGUCCACACCUGUUAAAUGAACCUCACUUCAUAAGUAAGGAAAUCCAGAGAGAUACUAAAAUCCUUUUAUUCGGAUAUACUUCACAUACCAUAAAAUUCCCUGUUAUAAAUGGUACAGCUGAAUGUUUUCUUGUAUAUUCAGAGCUGUGAAACCAAUACCACACCCUAAAUUUGGAACAUUCUUACCACCCCCAAAAGAAACCCUGUAGCAACUAGCCAUUCUCCUCCCUUGCCCCCCUUCUCCUGAGCCCCCAACACCCACUAAUCUGCUAUCUCUAUGGAUCUGCCAAUUCUGGACAUUUCAUAUCAUGGAAUCAUACAACAUGUAACUUUUUGAGCCUGGCUUCUUUUGGUUAGCAUAACAUUUUCAAGGUUCAGGUAGGUUGCUUCAAUCCUUUUUACAGCAGAAUAUUAUUCCACAGUAUGUCCACAGCACAUUCUGUUCAUCUGCUCAUCAAUUUGUGGGCAUCUGGGCUGUUUCCACUUUUUGGCUAUUAUGAAUAUUUCUAACAACACUGAUGUACACAUUUUUGUAUAUGUAGGAUUUCAUUUCUCUUGGCUACACACCAACCAGUAGAACUGCUGUGUCAGAUGGUAACUAUUUAAACUUUUGAGGAAAUUCCAAACUGUUUUCCAAAGUGGCUGAACCAUUUUACAUUUCCACCAGCAAUGUACAAGGGUUUCAAUUUCUCAACAUUUUCACCAACACCUGUUAUUGUCUGUCUUUUUGAUUAGAACCAUCCCAGUAGGUGCCAAGAGGUAUCUCAUUGUGACUUUGAUUUCCAUUUGCCUAGUGACUAAUGAUGCUGAGCAUCUUUCCAUGUUCUUAUUGGCCAUCUGUUUACCUUCCUUAGAGAACUCUCUAUACAGAUACUCUGCACAUUUCUAAACUGGGUUAUCUGUCUCUUUGGUGUUGGGUUUAAGAGUCCUUUAUAUACACUGGAUAUUAGAACCGGACCAGACAUAUCAUUUGCAAAUAUAUGUCCCAUUCUGUGGGCUGUCCUUCCACGUUCUGGUUGGUAUCCUUUAAGCACAAAAGCUUUUAAUUUUGAUGAAGUUCAGUUUAUCUCUUUUUUUCUUUUGCUGCUUAUGCUCUGGAGUCAUAUCUAAGAAAUCAUGCCCUAAUCCAAGAUCAUAAAGAUUUACUCUUGUGACUUUCUCUAAGAGUUUCAUAUAUUGAGCUUUUACAUUUAGACCUGCAUCCUCACAGACACUAAUGUUGGGUUCUUACCCUGCUGAGCCACAAUGAGAACUCCACAUUUAGGUUUAUGAGGUACAUGUAAUGUAGGGGUCCACGUGCAUUCUUGUGCACAGUGAUACCCUGUUGUCUUUGCAUCAUUUGUUAGAAGAACUAUUCCUUCCCCCAUAGAGUUGGUUUGGCACCCUUGUUGAAAAUUAAGUAACCGUAAGUGUAAGCGUUUAUUUCUGGAUUCCAAAACUCUAUUCCACUGAUCUAGGUGUCUACCUUUAUUCUAGGAUCACACUUACAUGAUUAGUAUAGCUUUGCAGUAGGUUUUAAAGUCAGGAAGUGUGAGUCCUCAAACUUUUUUUCAAAAGCUUCUUGGCUACUCUGGAUAACUCCCAUUUCCAUAUGACGUUGAGCCUCAAACUGUCAAUUUCUGCCAAAAAAAAGACAGCUGGGGUUCUGAUAAAGACUGGUUUGUAUCUGUACAACAACCUAGGAAUACUGUCAUCACAACAAUAUGAAUUCUUUGUCUGUGAACAUGAGAUAUCUCUCCACUUAUUUAGGUCUUCUUGGAUUUCUUUCAACAAUGUUUUGUAGUUUUAGAGUAUAAAUCUUAUACUUCUUUAAUAAAACUGACUGGUGUGCAUCAUGUCACUGUGCUUCUCUUUACUGUGUCUUUCCAAACUGAGGGUCUGGGGCAACCCUGCAUUGAGCAAGCCUAUCAGCACCAUUUCUCCACCUGCGUCAGCUCACUUCCUGUCUCUGUCUACGUUUUGGUAAUUUUUGCAGUAAUUUAAACUUUUCCAUUAUCAUUAUAUUUGUUAUGUUGGUCUGUGUAAGACCAUAUAAGACAGUGAAGCUAAUCGAUAAUAGUUGUGUGUGCUCUGACUAUCCCAAUGACCGCUGACUCUUUCCUCCUCCCCAGGCCGCCCUUGUUCCUGAGACAAAACAAUGACCGAAAUUAGGCCAAUGAAUAACUCCACAGUUGCUUCUAUGUGUUCAAGUGAAAGGAAGAGUCAAUACUCCAGCCUCCACAACCACCUUGAUCAGUCUGCAGCCACUGACAUCGGGGCAAGACCCUUCACAAGCAAAAAGAUUACAAUAUGCUGAAGGCUCAGAUGGUAGAAUUUUUUUUAGCAAUAAAGUAUUUUAAAAUUCAGGUAUGUACAUUUUUUUAGACAUAAUGCUACUGCACACUUAACAGACUACAGUAUAGUAUAAACGUAACUUUUAUAGGCAUUUGGAAACCGAAAUAUUCACAUGGCUCAUUUUAUUCUGGUAUUCACUUUAUCACGGUGGUCUGGAACCAAACCCACAAUAUCUCUGAGGUCUGCCUGUAUUACUAAAUAAUUUUUGAUGUUAAUGUAAAUGGAAUUAUUUGAAAAAAAUUUUUUUCUGGCCACACCCAUGGCAGGUGGACGCUCCCAGGCCAGGGAUCAAACUUGCACCACAGCAGUCAUCAGAGCCACAGCAGUGACAAUGUCAGAUCCUUAACUGCCCAAGCUACCAGGGAACUCCUAGAACUUUUGAUUAGUAUAAAUGUGAACUUGAGACUGCAGAAAGCCAAUGGGUGACUGUGUAGGAAACAAGGACGAAAGCCUAAGAGAAACCAAAAGUAAAACUAAAGGUAGAUUUCAAGGAGAUAACAUGUGAGGAUUCAGGCCAGCCUUCAACCUCCUUGAGGGCAGACUCAGUGUCUGUUGCUCAUUUAGCAUGGAGUAGGCCCUCAAGAAACAUUUGUUGAUGAAUAAAAUUCUUAACACUAACAAAGUGUUUACUCUGCGUUUCCUAUUUUAGGCCAUAAAUAGGCCUUAAGUAUGAGUUUCCUUGAGCCACAGAUUCGUUACAAUGGUGUGGAUUGCAGCUAUUACUGAUCAUAAUGGGAAAACAUAUUCACAGGCAAGAGAACGUUUGGUGAGGACCCCCCCACCAUUUAACAAGCUCCCUUACCGUUGGUCCAGCUAAGAAGUUGAAGAUGUCACAAGAUAAGGAAGAAAAUGGGAUAAGCCCUGAGCAUCCUGGAACCAGCACUGGUCCUCUUGACAAUGAUGUAGACAAUGCAGAAUGACACCCAAAGGGAAAACAAAGAAUGCUUCAGACGGGGCCAGAAGGGCAAAGAGGAGGAAGGACAAAGAAAGGGAGAGCAAGAAGAGCAAACCCCUCUCUUCUGCAAUAGGAAAAGUGGAAACUCAAGGCUAAAUAUGGUAUUUAUCAGUACUAUAAUAAUGGAUGAUCAAUUAAAAUCAUAAGCUUUCACUAAGGACUAGUGUACACUGUGCUGUGCUGGCACCAUGCUGAGGGGCCCAUGCACAUAGUCUCAUCAACCCCUUUGUGACAAUUCCGAGGCAAGUGUUAUUAUCGUUAGAGACGUUAGGAUAACUUGUCCAAGGCCUCAAUCUCCAGACAGCCACAAUUGGCAUUUAAACUCAGAUCACCUGACUCCAAAAUGCACCUAUCAUGCAGGGUGUGCACACAGAUAAAUUCAUACUGUACACACCUACUCACAAGUGCAGCAAACAUCUGCCACCCUAUACAGUUACUAACUCGAAUAUCCUCAUACUCAUUACUAAUUUGAUUCCAAACAGAAAUCAAAAGUUUACAAGGAGAUCACUGCCCUUACUCUUUUUAGGGGAACAAGACAAAUGAAAUGCCUAAUAGAAAGCUUGCAAAUACUGUGCCAUUAAAACCACACAUAUCAUAAAGCCCAAGAUCAUGUUGUUUCCUGGGGCCUGUGGGGGAAUACUGGGGUUACAUCCUGGAUCUGUCACAAACCAGAUAUGUAACUUUGAAAAUGUCCUUUUUCUUAUUAGUAAAUUUUCCUGCCCAAAUCUGCAAGGCCACUGCCAAUUCUAUGAUUCUACCAAUUUACUCUUCUUCUAAGCUUUCAAUGAUUAGGUCAUCAACUCUCAUUGUACGCAUACUUACACCGUCAUCAAACCCACUGGUCAAUUAUGGGUCUCAAUGCAGGGCAAAUGAGAAGAAGUAUAUGUGGGCACAUUGAAAAGUACCCUUGAUCAGAAUGCCAUUUCUCAAGAAAAGAAAAAGGAAGGGUGCGGGGGGUGCAGGUGGGGGAAUAGAUUUGCUUUGAUAAAGUGCAUCCUGAGCCUUUCUUCCCCUGCCUGCCUGGUCCAUAUUCUAAAUCACUUCCGUGCUUUCACAUAGUAAAUUUUCUGCUAGAUGUCUAGAUAUGCUGGAGAUCAGGUUACAGUGUGAAGGACAAAAGAUAAAAACAAUCUGCAUACUUCCAUCUGGCUCUUCAGAACAAAGUCUAGAAACUUGAAAUGUGAGGAGAGAAGCAUGCUCCUCGAGCUGCACAACAGAUACAGCAAAAUGUCACAGAAACAAAUCUUUCAAGAGAAUCAGAGAUGCUGGAAUGCGUAAUUAACUAACAUUUACUCUGAGGGCAUAAAAAAAAAAAAAAAAAAAAAAAG